GGACGAACGCUGGCGGCGUGCCUAACACAUGCAAGUCGAACGGGUGAGAGGAGCUUGCUCCUCGAUCUAGUGGCGAACGGGUGAGUAACGCGUGAGAAACCUGCCUUUCAGUGGGGGACAACAGUUGGAAACGACUGCUAAUACCGCAUAACAUACACGGACCGCAUGAUCUGUGUAUCAAAGCUUUAUGUGCUGAAAGAUGGUCUCGCGUCUGAUUAGCUAGUUGGUGAGGUAACGGCUCACCAAGGCGACGAUCAGUAGCCGGUCUGAGAGGAUGAACGGCCACAUUGGGACUGAGACACGGCCCAGACUCCUACGGGAGGCAGCAGUGGGGAAUAUUGGGCAAUGGGGGAAACCCUGACCCAGCAACGCCGCGUGAAGGAAGAAGGCCUUCGGGUUGUAAACUUCUUUUACCAGGGACGAAGAACGUGACGGUACCUGGAGAAAAAGCAACGGCUAACUACGUG
This 467-nucleotide ribosomal RNA is filed under the name uncultured bacterium. Its description in RNAcentral is "bacterial SSU rRNA". It matches the Rfam family "Bacterial small subunit ribosomal RNA", at positions 27 to 507 of the family's 1533-position model. The record is from RNAcentral.